GCCGCGGUAAUACCGGCGCCCCAAGUGGUAGUCGCUUUUAUUGGGCCUAAAACGUCCGUAGCCGGUCUGGUACAUUCGUGGGUAAAUCAACCAGCUCAACUGGUUGAAUUCUGCGAGCACGGCCAGACUUGGGACCGGGAGAGGUGUGGGGUACUCUCAGGGUAGGGGUAAAAUCCUGUCAUCCUGAGAGGACCACCUGUUGCGAAGGCGCCACACUAGAACGGAUCCGACGGUCAGGGACGAAGCCUAGGGGCACGAACCGGAUUAGAUACCCGGGUAGUCCUAGGUGUAAACGCUGUGGACUUGAUGUUGGGGGCGCUCCGAGCGCACUCAGUGUCGAAGCGAAGGUGAUAAGUCCACUGCCUGGGGAGUACGGUCGCAAGGCUGAAACUAAAGGAAUUGGCGGGGGAGCACGGUCUG
Molecule: ribosomal RNA, 420 nt
Filed under: euryarchaeote SCGC AAA288-C18
Lineage: Archaea; Methanobacteriati; Methanobacteriota
Description: SSU rRNA
Rfam family: Archaeal small subunit ribosomal RNA
Source: RNAcentral